This is a long non-coding RNA of Leopardus geoffroyi (Geoffroy's cat), 218 nucleotides long. RefSeq lists it as uncharacterized. The record is from RefSeq and is a predicted model, not a curated record. NCBI's taxonomy places the organism in Eukaryota, Metazoa, Chordata, Mammalia, Carnivora, Felidae. The transcript is spliced from 3 exons.
GAAGGCUACCAAUUAUGUUUUUUUUCUUUUACGGUAACUGAAGCAAUGGCCUAGACCAAGAUGGUGAAAGGCGAAUGGGCUCAGGCGACAUGGUACAAUAUUCUCUCGUGGUGCAGCAGCAGCAGCAGCAAGCUACGGAUCCCAGUCAGCCACAAUGUCACAAGGGUAAGCAAGGCUUCAUGCCUGGUGUGGAGCCCAGUGUAGGGCUUGAACCUAUG